GGAUAGAAUUUCAAAUUUAAAAGAAUAAAAAUUUUCAAAAUAAAAAUGGUCUAUUUUGGUGAUUUUGAGUGUCGUUUUUAUGAUAAAAACUUAAAAAGUCUAUUUGAGAAAAUUGCCCUAUUUUUUAUAUUAGUAUUUACAUAUAUAAAUAUAUUUCGGAUACAUUUGGAUAUCCAAAAUACUUAUGUUUGGGGCGGGUUUGGUUAUGGUUCUUUAGAUAUCUAAAUUUUGAACCUAUGCGGAUAUUUAACCAAUCUUGGUUCGGAUUCGGUACUACUUUUUCGAAUCGGAUUCGGUUCUUCAGAUUCAUGUUUUUGCCCAACCCUAAUGUUUUCAGCUCUAAUUCUCUUUAUGCUCCUAAGUGCUCCAAAAUUUCUAAACUUAUCCAAAACGUAACUGAACUUGCAAUGACUCGAUAAAAAUUCGAAACAUACAUAAAACUCUAAAUAAAGAUGUAUUGCAUAGUCAAAACCCCAUAAAAUAUGAUGUAUCAACACCCAUGAUUAGAAGAUGAGAAAUAAAAGAGCACUAUUUUUACAAAAAAAAAAAAAAGAGCACUAUCUACAUAUCUUUGGAAAAAGGCCAAAACUAUGGCCAAUGUCAACACUGAAAUCAUCUUGUAGAUGUAUAGAUUAGAGGAGCACCACCGGAAACACUGUUACUCCCGUGACCAGGUCCAGAAACAGACUUCUAUCAACAGAGAGGAAAAGUCAAUCGCUUAUACAAUCGCCAUUAACUGCCAUAAUAACCGCAUUUAUCUAUUCUUGUCUUCUAAUACCAUUCCUUACUAUGUGUGCCAUUUAUUUAAGUUAUCUACACAAUCAUUUAAAGGUUUAUAGUUGUGAUGACAUCCAAUUUCCAAACAAUUUUGUUAUUGUGAACGUCAGUAAUCUAAUUCAAAUGAGUUUUUUUUUUAUCGAUGAGCCUUGCUUAUUACAUGGAGAAUAGAAAGAUGGCUCUGGACACCACAAGAAACUAAGUAUCUCAGGCCCGUAAAAAUAAGUAUAUGCUAUGCCAGUUUACAAAAGAAAAAAGCAUAUUUCGUUCAUGUAGGUAGUAUGAUGGUUGGAUGGGAAAUUGGGAAUUUAUAAUACAAUUUUCGAUUUUCUUACCACUUACAUAAUUAUUAAGGCGUUUGUUUUAGUCAUUCCUCAUUGACCUAUAUAAACAAAAACAAUUAAAUAUACC
This 1188-nucleotide long non-coding RNA is filed under the name Brassica rapa (field mustard). Its description in RNAcentral is "long non-coding RNA (BRAP_LNC004833)". Lineage: Eukaryota; Viridiplantae; Streptophyta; Magnoliopsida; Brassicales; Brassicaceae. The record is from RNAcentral.